This 492-nucleotide ribosomal RNA is filed under the name uncultured bacterium. RNAcentral's name for it is "partial 16S ribosomal RNA". It matches the Rfam family "Bacterial small subunit ribosomal RNA", at positions 29 to 507 of the family's 1533-position model. The record is from RNAcentral.
AGUGAACGCUGGCGGUAGGCCUAACACAUGCCAGUCGAACGGCAGCACAGUAAGAGCUUGCUCUUACGGGUGGCGAGUGGCGGACGGGUGAGGAAUACAUCGGAAUCUACUUUUUCGUGGGGGAUAACGUAGGGAAACUUACGCUAAUACCGCAUACGACCUACGGGUGAAAGCAGGGGAUCUUCGGACCUUGCGCGAUUGAAUGAGCCGAUGUCGGAUUAGCUAGUUGGCGGGGUAAAGGCCCACCAAGGCGACGAUCCAUAGCUGGUCUGAGAGGAUGAUCAGCCACACUGGAACUGAGACACGGUCCAGACUCCUACGGGAGGCAGCAGUGGGGAAUAUUGGACAAUGGGCGCAAGCCUGAUCCAGCCAUACCGCGUGGGUGAAGAAGGCCUUCGGGUUGUAAAGCCCUUUUGUUGGGAAAGAAAAGCAGCAGGUUAAUACCCCGCUGUUCUGACGGUACCCAAAGAAUAAGCACCGGCUAACUUCGUG